ACGUUUGCCACUUGUGAUCUCUCGAAACUCAUUAGAGAUCUGAGUAAGAUUACACAUGUGAGUGCUCAUGCGUUUGAAAAUAGCCUUCAUCCAGAAAAUUGUGUCCCUGUCAAGCCAUUUAAGAUUGAUGAGAAAGGCGAAGAAUUUGUGGAUGCAACACUUUCGGAUCUCAUUCCGUUUCUUGAACAUGAGUGUGUUGAUUUUUAUUGCAUACAUAAAUUAGAGCCCAUUUUGUUGUCGCUGUGGAAGUUAAAUGUCUGUGAUCCAUUUUUCAUUUCUCUUUUUUAAAUUGCAUCUGAGGGGCAAAAGAAUUCUCUUGAAUAGGUGUAUCUUA
This 334-nucleotide unclassified non-coding RNA is filed under the name Hevea brasiliensis (rubber tree). Lineage: Eukaryota; Viridiplantae; Streptophyta; Magnoliopsida; Malpighiales; Euphorbiaceae. The record is from RNAcentral.